This 71-nucleotide transfer RNA is filed under the name Stelis ciliaris. RNAcentral's name for it is "partial tRNA-His". Lineage: Eukaryota; Viridiplantae; Streptophyta; Magnoliopsida; Asparagales; Orchidaceae. The record is from RNAcentral.
GCGGAUGUAGCCAAGUGGAUCAGGGCGGUGGAUUGUGAAUCCACCAUGCGCGAAAAGGGAGGACCACGAUU